RNAcentral lists this ribosomal RNA (482 nucleotides) under uncultured bacterium. RNAcentral describes it as "partial 16S ribosomal RNA". It matches the Rfam family "Bacterial small subunit ribosomal RNA", at positions 30 to 507 of the family's 1533-position model. The record is from RNAcentral.
AUUGAACGCUGGCGGCAUGAUUUACACAUGCAAGUCGAACGGUAACAGGCCGCAAGGUGCUGACGAGUGGCGAACGGGUGAGUAAUGCAUCGGAACGUGCCCAGUCGUGGGGGAUAACUACUCGAAAGAGUAGCUAUUACCGCAUACGAUCUAUGGAUGAAAGCGGGGGACCGUAAGGCCUCGCGCGAUUGGAGCGGCCGAUGUCAGAUUAGGUAGUUGGUGGGGUAAAGGCUCACCAAGCCAACGAUCUGUAGCUGGUCUGAGAGGACGACCAGCCACACUGGGACUGAGACACGGCCCAGACUCCUACGGGAGGCAGCAGUGGGGAAUUUUGGACAAUGGGCGCAAGCCUGAUCCAGCAAUGCCGCGUGCAGGAAGAAGGCCUUCGGGUUGUAAACUGCUUUUGUACGGAACGAAACGGCUCUGGUUAAUACCCGGGGCUAAUGACGGUACCGUAAGAAUAAGCACCGGCUAACUACGUG